GACGAACGCUGGCGGCGUGCCUAACACAUGCAAGUCGAACGGAGCUUUUAUGGAAUGCGACUUCGGUCAAAUGAAGUUUAAGCUUAGUGGCGGACGGGUGAGUAACGCGUGAGCAACCUGCCUUUUCAGAGGGGGGACAACAGUUGGAAACGACUGCUAAAUACCGCAUAACGUACAUUUAAGGCAUCUUUAUGUACCAAAGAUUUAUCGCUGAAAGAUGGGCUCGCGUCCGAUUAGGUAGUUGGUGGGGUAAUGGCCUACCAAGCCGACGAUCGGUAGCCGGACUGAGAGGUUGAACGGCCACAUUGGGACUGAGACACGGCCCAAACUCCUACGGGAGGCAGCAGUGGGGAAUAUU
This 358-nucleotide ribosomal RNA is filed under the name uncultured bacterium. RNAcentral's name for it is "bacterial SSU rRNA". It matches the Rfam family "Bacterial small subunit ribosomal RNA", at positions 28 to 365 of the family's 1533-position model. The record is from RNAcentral.